ACUGUGAAGUCUUCCUAAAUUUUAUUGGCACUGAAAUAGAACAUGGAUUGAGCAUAAACCCCUCCAAAAACAAUUUUUAAAAAACCCAAAAAGUACACAAAAAACCCCUGAAUACAAAAUCUAACCUUUUCCCCCAGCCUCCCUAAGGGUAAGUUACUGACUUUAAGGCAGCUAUUAAUAGAUUGUCAGGCACAGAGUGGGGGGUGGUGGCCAGGGGGAAUUGAGGGAGGCUCUAAGCUAGGGGCACUGCAUGGUGGGACAGGAUGGCCCCUUGAGGACUGAACCCUGGGGAGAAGACAAA
Molecule: long non-coding RNA, 301 nt
Filed under: Homo sapiens (human)
Lineage: Eukaryota; Metazoa; Chordata; Mammalia; Primates; Hominidae
Description: HSALNT0283170
Source: RNAcentral